This 311-nucleotide ribosomal RNA is filed under the name uncultured eukaryote. Its description in RNAcentral is "partial 18S ribosomal RNA". It matches the Rfam family "Eukaryotic small subunit ribosomal RNA", at positions 1470 to 1796 of the family's 1831-position model. The record is from RNAcentral.
CCCCUAGACGUUCUGGGCUGCACGCGCGCUACAAUAAUACGCACAGCGAGUAUCACCGAGCUCGAAAGGGCAAGGUAAACAAUAGAAAAGGUACUGUAAUGGUUAUAGAUCCUUGUAAUUAUUGAUCUUCAACGAGGAAUUCCUAGUAAGUAUGUGUCAUCAUCACGCACUGAUUACGUCCCUGCCCUUUGUACACACCGCCCGUCGCUCCUACCGAUUGGGUGAGCCGAUGAAACUCUCGGAUGUAGGCUAUUCAUAGCCCGUAGAAGAGAUUUGAAUCGUAGCGCUUAGAGGAAGGAGAAGUCGUAACA